Molecule: unclassified non-coding RNA, 25 nt
Filed under: Mus musculus (house mouse)
Lineage: Eukaryota; Metazoa; Chordata; Mammalia; Rodentia; Muridae
Description: oocyte_clustered_small_RNA10205
Source: RNAcentral
CUACAUUGUAGCAAAACCAGUGAGC